UCAAUUAAUUGCUUUUCAUCAAAACGCGUCAUUUUGUUUUCUCUCUAGAAUUAUUGGAAAUUUUAGCUUUGGAGUUAUUUUUGUUAUAUAAUACAAAAAAAAAGCGCAAAUGACAAUCGAGUUAUACAAAUUGCUCGCCCAGGUUUUAGUUGAGGAUGCAGAGCUAAUUGAUGGCCGUUAUGAAAACCCGGAGCUCCUGAAAAUGGUCGAGAAUAAUCGCAACCGGAAUCGUCAAUUUAUUCUGUUUUACCGAAACAGCCCCAUAGGUGAUCGGCCAUUCGUCCAUCAUGGCAUCCGACAAGUUAUCUCACGAGAACACCCUCACCCUCUUCAGUCAGUAUGAUUUCUAGAGGACGCAACCGGAAC
Armigeres subalbatus is the source of this 366-nucleotide long non-coding RNA. RefSeq lists it as uncharacterized. NCBI's taxonomy places the organism in Eukaryota, Metazoa, Arthropoda, Insecta, Diptera, Culicidae. The transcript has 3 exons. The record is from RefSeq and is a predicted model, not a curated record.